CUUUGACAGGAUAUCAGGUGAAAUUAAGUCAGCAGUUGGAAGCAGAUCAGUUGCAGCUCAGCCAGCAGGAUGAGAAGAAUCAGAAAGCAGUCAGUCAAUACCUAAAGCAACUACAGUCCUUCAAGUCUUGCAGUCACAGUCACGAGUCACCAUCCCAGCGGCCUCUAAGAAAGAAAACUGUCGACUUAAUGGAGAGAAAUAAGAAAACCCUUUCCCUGUUUAUUCUGCUGCCUCUGCUGCUGCUCUGCAGAAGUGAUGAGUGUUCCAGCCUGCCAGAGAAUCUCACUUGCUACACUGACUACAAUAGAAACAUCACAUGUUUGUGGAACAGCAGAAACGUGUCUGAUGACACUGCAUGCACGAUACAUGCUCAAAAUAAACGCCUCGACA
Long non-coding RNA from Pelmatolapia mariae (spotted tilapia), 390 nucleotides. RefSeq lists it as uncharacterized. Lineage: Eukaryota; Metazoa; Chordata; Actinopteri; Cichliformes; Cichlidae. The transcript has 3 exons. The record is from RefSeq and is a predicted model, not a curated record.